GCGUUUUUUAUGGGUUGAAAAUUAGCUUCUGAAGUCGGAAAGGCACUGUGCACUUUCAGAGUCCAAGGAGCAGAAGAUAUUUUGUGCUACUCAAACUUUGGUAUUUGUUUACCUGCAAGAAAUUUCUCCAAGCCGGCCAUCCCAUAAGAGACCUCUGCAAAGUGGUAUGGAGUCUUGGCAAGAAAGCUGGAGGGAUAACCCGGUGC
RNAcentral lists this long non-coding RNA (206 nucleotides) under Notechis scutatus (mainland tiger snake). Its description in RNAcentral is "lncRNA (ENSNSUG00000016116.1)". The record is from RNAcentral. Lineage: Eukaryota; Metazoa; Chordata; Lepidosauria; Squamata; Elapidae.